GACAGAGGGGGCAAGCGUUGUCCGGAGUUACUGGGCGUAAAGCGCGCGUAGGCGGUACGGUAAGUAAGGUGUGAAAGCCCCAGGCUUAACCUGGGGAGGUCAUCUUCGACUGCCGCACUCGAGUCGUGCAGAGGGUGGUGGAAUUGCCGGUGUAGUGGUGAAAUGCGUAGAGAUCGGCAGGAACACCAAGGGCGAAAGCAGCCACCUGGGCACGUACUGACGCUGAGGUGCGAAAGCGUGGGGAGCGAAC
This 250-nucleotide ribosomal RNA is filed under the name uncultured bacterium. RNAcentral describes it as "partial 16S ribosomal RNA". It matches the Rfam family "Bacterial small subunit ribosomal RNA", at positions 524 to 773 of the family's 1533-position model. The record is from RNAcentral.